RNAcentral lists this small nuclear RNA (140 nucleotides) under Trifolium pratense (red clover). RNAcentral describes it as "snRNA U4". It matches the Rfam family "U4 spliceosomal RNA". Rfam says of the family: U4 small nuclear RNA (U4 snRNA) is a component of the major U2-dependent spliceosome. Lineage: Eukaryota; Viridiplantae; Streptophyta; Magnoliopsida; Fabales; Fabaceae. The record is from RNAcentral.
AGCAUCUAACCGAGGCAAUGACGCAGCUAAUGAGGUAUUAACCGAGACGCGUCUAUUAAUGGUUGAAAAGUAUUUCCAAAAUCCCUUUUAGGUUUGGGGUCUUCUCAGCCAUUGAGAAUUUCUGGAAGGACUCCGGUGUG